Long non-coding RNA from Lagopus leucura (white-tailed ptarmigan), 583 nucleotides. RefSeq lists it as uncharacterized. The record is from RefSeq and is a predicted model, not a curated record. The transcript has 4 exons. Lineage: Eukaryota; Metazoa; Chordata; Aves; Galliformes; Phasianidae.
GCUGCUGAAACUGCAGAACAGCGUGCUUGGCGUGCUGAGGUGGAAGCUGAAACCUUGUCCCUGGGGUAGCGAGGCCACGCAGAAGGUCACAAAUGGCUGACAGUGCCGAGCUGGUUCCAGGCUCUGUGCACCCCCUGGGAUGGAUCUCGUUGCUGCCCUUUCUGCUGGGGACUGUGCAGGGAACACAGAAAUGCUGCUGCCGAGAAAUGCAGAGAAGGAUGUGACAGCAUCACCAGCCUUAGAAGAAACAGCAGCAGCACCAGAGAUGGAAAGUCAACCCUGAUGGAGCAGUGGUGGAAGCAUCAGAAAACCCAGAGGCAGAAGGACUUGCUGAAAUUAUCCAAGCAGCAGAACAAAUAGCAAAAUCUGAAGUGGCCAAGGUGCUGCAGUCAGCAAUAGCUGAGCUCAAGGAGAUGAGGAGGAGCGCGUGGUUAAAGCUAAAGAACAUCACCCAACAGGAGGAGGAGGACUGGGAGAAGAAGAGAGAGAUGAUGUGAGGUGAAGGUUGGUUCAUACCCAAAGUGAGGCUCAUACCCUGGGCAUUUCCCCUUUGUAAGUGCCCACGCUCUUAAAAAUAAAGAUA